GACGAACGCUGGCGGCGUGCCUAAUACAUGCCAGUUGAGCGCUGAAGGUUGGUACUUGUACCGACUGGAUGAGCAGCGAACGGGUGAGUAACGCGUGGGGAAUCUGCCUUUGAGCGGGGGACAACAUUUGGAAACGAAUGCUAAUACCGCAUAAAAACUUUAAACACAAGUUUUAAGUUUGAAAGAUGCAAUUGCAUCACUCAAAGAUGAUCCCGCGUUGUAUUAGCUAGUUGGUGAGGUAAAGGCUCACCAAGGCGAUGAUACAUAGCCGACCUGAGAGGGUGAUCGGCCACAUUGGGACUGAGACACGGCCCACACUCCUACGGGAGGCAGCAGUAGGGAAUAUUCGGCAAUGGACGAAAGUCUGACCGAGCCACGCCGGGUGAGUGAAGAAGGUUUUCGGGUCGUAAAACUCUUUUGGUAGGGAAGAACGUUGGUGGGGGUGGAAAGCCCUUCAAGUGCGGGAAACAACCAAGAAAGGGGCGGUUACUUCCUG
RNAcentral lists this ribosomal RNA (496 nucleotides) under uncultured bacterium. RNAcentral's name for it is "partial 16S ribosomal RNA". It matches the Rfam family "Bacterial small subunit ribosomal RNA", at positions 28 to 507 of the family's 1533-position model. The record is from RNAcentral.